RNAcentral lists this ribosomal RNA (346 nucleotides) under uncultured bacterium. RNAcentral's name for it is "partial 16S ribosomal RNA". It matches the Rfam family "Bacterial small subunit ribosomal RNA", at positions 338 to 676 of the family's 1533-position model. The record is from RNAcentral.
CCUACGGGAGGCAGCAGUGGGGAAUAUUGCGCAAUGGGCGAAAGCCUGACGCAGCGACGCCGCGUGAGGGAUGAAGGUCUUCGGAUCGUAAACCUCUGUCAGCAGGGAAGAACGGUCACUGUGCUAAUCAGCAGUGAAUUGACGGUACCUGCAAAGGAAGCACCGGCUAACUCCGUGCCAGCAGCCGCGGUAAUACGGAGGGUGCGAGCGUUAAUCGGAAUUACGGGGGGUAAAGCGCUCGUAGGCGGUAUGUCAAGGCAAGGGUGAAAUCCCCGCGCUCAACGUGGGAACGGCCUUUGACACUGUCACACUGGCGUGUGUGAGAGGUUAGUGGCAUUCCAGGUGU